AGUGAACGCUGGCGGUAGGCCUAACACAUGCAAGUCGAACGGCAGCACAGUAAGAGCUUGCUCUUACGGGUGGCGAGUGGCGGACGGGUGAGGAAUACAUCGGAAUCUACUUUUUCGUGGGGGAUAACGUAGGGAAACUUACGCUAAUACCGCAUACGACCUACGGGUGAAAGCAGGGGAUCUUCGGACCUUGCGCGACUGAAUGAGCCGAUGUCGGAUUAGCUAGUUGGCGGGGUAAAGGCCCAUCAAGGCGACGAUCCGUAGCUGGUCUGAGAGGAUGAUCAGCCACACUGGAACUGAGACACGGUCCAGACUCCUACGGGAGGCAGCAGUGGGGAAUAUUGGACAAUGGGCGCAAGCCUGAUCCAGCCAUACCGCGUGGGUGAAGAAGGCCUUCGGGUUGUAAAGCCCUUUUGUUGGGAAAGAAAAGCAGCAGGUUAAUACCCCGCUGUUCUGACGGUACCCAAAGAAUAAGCACCGGCUAACUUCGUG
This 492-nucleotide ribosomal RNA is filed under the name uncultured bacterium. Its description in RNAcentral is "partial 16S ribosomal RNA". It matches the Rfam family "Bacterial small subunit ribosomal RNA", at positions 29 to 507 of the family's 1533-position model. The record is from RNAcentral.